UAUAUAUCGACUUUCACUAUAUAUAUAUCAACUUUCAUUAUAUAUAUAUCAAGUUUCAUUAUAUAUAUAUAUCAACUUUCAUUAUAUAUAUAUCAAGUUUCAUUAUAUAUAUAUCGACUUUCAUUAUAUAUAUAUAUCAACUUUCAUUAUAUAUAUAUCAAAUCUUUUUUUCCUACCGAGCCCCGGAAGGGACAUGUCCGUAUGGCGAAGCGACAACGAAGGACACUCACCCGGACGAGAAUUUUAUUGAGUUUUAUUUUAAAAUCGGCCUGAAACACACAGACAUUCAAGCAGUGCGAUGCGCUAAGAGUCUGCCAUGCAGACCAGCGAUCCUGAUAAUGUUGUCGGCCUUGGAUGAUGAGGUCCAGUUACCAGGAGCACUAGUCUGCAGCUUACUGGUUCCGUCUUGCAGCUCCUCCACGCUGUCCUCCUCUCUACAGACCAAAUCAAGAAAAGGGAACCAGGAAGCUGCUGUGGAUCCUCUGCAGUAUCUGGAGAGGUCAGAGGAACGGUUCUUGGAACAGAUCGGAAGACACCAAGACGUGACCUCUGCCAUGCUCCAGAACAUCCAGAAGAUGAAUGAAAACCUUGGUUGCACUGAUGGGACGCAUGGUGUCGGUGCUGGAGCAACUGUCCCAGAAUUAAACUGCAUUGUUGACUAUUGGCUUUUCUAGAAAAUAAAUCUUUUUUAGUACUUCA
This is a long non-coding RNA of Acanthochromis polyacanthus (spiny chromis), 699 nucleotides long. RefSeq lists it as uncharacterized. NCBI's taxonomy places the organism in Eukaryota, Metazoa, Chordata, Actinopteri, Pomacentridae. The record is from RefSeq and is a predicted model, not a curated record. The transcript has 3 exons.